AUUUAAUGCUUCUUAUCUCUCUUCCAGAUUGUAGAUCUCAACCUAUAAAAAGGCCAGCCUUCAACCCUUUAGCAUCAUCCUCACAAUUCUUAAUAUUUAUAGAAUUUUAUUUUCCAGUAUAAGUAUAAUGGCUAAUCCGUCAAUGGUUCUCUCUGAUUUGCAGGCUUGCCGCUGUUCUUCAACCGUCAAGGUCUCUGAUUUUUGGAAAUGAGCGGAGCUGACGGUGUGGACAUGCUCCUGCUAAGUUGGUUGUUCAGUCAUGGAGAGUUAAUAGCAACUGUUUAUGAAAUUAAAAUGCCAAAAAAGGAUGAAAAAAGUGUAGAAACGGCAGUAUGUGAGUCAUUCUUUUCAUAGCAACGUCGCACUCUUGCCAAAGUCAUCUUCUCUCUUGACAAGCAUUGUCGGCAAUUGAGUGGCUAGGAGAUAGAAGAAGUGAUGGUAUGAAGAGCUACUUGAGUCCGUGUUCAGGGGAAACUCACCCGCUUAUAUUCAGGUCUCCAGUGAAGGGUAUGGAGGGCAUCUUGACCAACCAACUCAUGUGAGAACACGGACCUAGAUCAGAGGGUUCUUCUAACUCUUAACGCCUCAGCUUCCAAAUCUUUUUCGGUCUCACUCGCUCUUCUUCUUCUCCUACGAUUAGCUGUGCUUCCGUUUCAACUUCCCUCUUGAGAUUCUCUCCAUAUGUAUUCUGAUUGAGUUUUCCAAUCUUCACAGCAUUUGUUUUAACUGCGUAUGUGAAAUUCGUGCAGUUUUAAAGUCAAUGAAAAGAUCAUCCUGAUGCUCUGUUA
Brassica oleracea var. oleracea is the source of this 788-nucleotide long non-coding RNA. RefSeq lists it as uncharacterized. The transcript is spliced from 4 exons. Lineage: Eukaryota; Viridiplantae; Streptophyta; Magnoliopsida; Brassicales; Brassicaceae. The record is from RefSeq and is a predicted model, not a curated record.